CAAUGCUUGGUACCUGGAGCACCUCAGAUCUUUUCUGUUGGAAACCUGUAAUGAAGUGAAUCUUGUUCAUCACCUCAGCCUUCAAGAUGUCUAUCCACUUGCAGCUUACAGACUUGCAGGAAUGCGUGUGGUUACACUGAAAUGUUACAUUUGUUGUACAUUGUAGAGUCUAUCUUUUCCAUCUAUCAUAAACUGUAGGGUGUUGGUGAUUUUGUGAAUUGGCUUAUUUACAAAAAACGGAUGCCCACACAUCACUUGUUUUUGAGGGUUUGAGUAAUUUUGGUGCUUAAUGGAGGUAUAACCUUUAUUUUUUUUUAAAGACUAUUUUCUUCUCACUAGGCCACCUGACAUGGAUUCAGCAAUGCUCCGGGUCCUCUUUGGUCACAGAAUAGAGAAACUGACUCUUCCAUCCGGAAUACCAGAGACAAUGGAGGAGCUUAACUUGGUCAUCAAGCAGACAUUAAGUAUACCCGACGACUUCAGCCUGCAGUAUUUAGAUCCAGAUUUUGAUUACUUUACUCUCAACUCCACUGCUGAAAUUACACACAAAGCCACAAUUAAGGUUGUGACAAUCAAUCCAGUUGUUCUCAAUUUGUACCCAUUACCACUCAAUGACAGCUAUGAUGAAAGUUUCACCUCAGAGCAAUCCCAUGAUCCUGCCUCCACAAGUUCCACUGUAAAAGACUCCUGUGGCUCAUGUGAUUCAUCAUCUGAAAGCUCAGCCAUCAUGUCAGCAAGCAGCAGCCUACAAAAGAAACCAUGGCCAACUGAUUUGAUUAUUCCACGUUUCUCUGUUGAAACCGAAAUUAUUCUUGAAAGAGCAAAUGAAGUUUAUAGAAAAGAGGGCACACUGCUGACUAUGCCAAACAUCAAGUCAGACAUACUUGAAAAGCUAGCUCAGUCCAUUUAUACAUACACUCCCUAUCCAUCACUCCAGAAUUGUCUUUCUGUCACUGAAGCACUUAUCAAGACACACCCAUGUCUGAAGGAUCCGGGGAGCUCUUCAGGCAUCAUUGGUUGGCAGAAUAGUAUUAAAUACAAGAUGGAUAACUACAGAACCAAGUUAAGAGGCUUUGGUAUUCCAGAUGUUACAUGCAAUGCUCUAAAACAUAAAUGCCCUGCUGACAGGAAGUCUGCAAAAAAUGUGAAAAAGGCAAAAAGAGCAGAGGUCAAUUAUCUUCCACCCUACCCAGCUGGUGAAAAUGAGCAGAGCUUGGAGAAAGUAAGGGAAGAGCUGGUCACAGAGUCAAAAAAGAACAAUGAAAAUGUAGUCAAAGACCAAAUGAGCAAAACAUUUGCCCUCAGACGACAUGAAAUCAUCAAUCUGUGUCCAACUGUUCGAGCCAUGAAGGACCGCUGGCCUGCCCUGUUUGACCAUUCUCAAAAUGUUUAAAUAUGCAAAUAUUGUGGAGGGGGACUUCAGUACUCUGACAGUGGCAAAAGAUCAAUGCAGAAUUUCAAAGAACAACUACUGUACUUCUGGAACUGGAAUUUAUGUCUGCGUUAGACCGUCACACUCCCAAGCUACUGACGCUAUUUCGUGCCAAAGGUGGAGCACUUGGAAAAAGACUGGAGAUCAUAAUGGAACUGCUGCAGGACUCAGUGCCCUCUUCGACUGAGAGGACCAGAGAGGUUGUUCUUCGGUGUCUUAUAGAAUACCUUGGAGAACAAGGGGGACAUCUUAUCAAAGAAUUCAACGACACUGAGAACUUGGAGGAACUUGAACAGGUCAUAAUGGCCAUUACUGUGACCCCAAAGCCUGGAGCUUCUACAAGCAACAGCCCAAAGAACAUUGGGAUCGUCAUAGAGGGCAUGGAAGUCAUCACAGGACUUGGAGAUAUUGCAAGGGCUUGCUCUGUCCUCCUUGGCUUGACCUACGCGCUGAAUCUCGAUUAUCCCAGACAGCUGAAGUACACCUUUAAGGUGUUCCAAAAACUUUUCUUGGAACUGGAUGAUUCAAAGCUUUCAAACAAAGUCCAGUCCCUCAAGAGCAACCUUCAUCCUUGAAAUGAGACUGUAUUGCAGUGCAGACUUUUGUGCUACACAAUGUUCAUCUUCUGCAGAGCUUGAGAAUUGCACAUUUGAAAGUGCUAUGUUUGUAAGUUGGCACUGAUUUGUCCCACGAAUGUCGUGACAUUUCAAUUGUUGUAAGUUCAAAGUACAAAUGUAUUUUACUCUGUUCAAUUUGCACUUUUAUUAUUUAUGUUUUGGCACAUGCCAUUAUGGAGUAUUUUCCUUUAAGAUCUUUAUUGCUCUUUUUUUUUUUUUAAAUAGUUGAAGUCAGCAUUUUGUCCUUUACAAAGUUCUGGUUUGAAAUGCGUGAGCAAACUUCUGGUUUGAAAAUGAGACUGUGUAGCAAAACAUGUACACUGCAACUAAAAUGUUUAGCUUCUACAGAGCUUGGGAAUUGCACAUCUGAAAGUGCUACGUUUGUAAGUUAGCACUGAUUUGGACUCUUAUCCCACGAAUGUCAGUGAGAUUUCUAGUUCAAAGUACAAAAUGUUUUUUACUCCGUACAAAUUACACUUUUCUGCUUUUGUUUUGGUACAUGCACCUCUGGAGGAUUUUUCUUUAAGAUCAUUAUUGACCCAAUUUGGUGGCUAAGUGAGGUGAGAAAGCAUGGAAACCAGUUUAUGGACACAUCACCAUUCUGUAUGUCAUUUAUUUUUGUUUUUACAAAAUAGUUUAAAGUCAGCAUUCUGUCCUUUUCAAAUGUAUGGUUUGAAAUGCAAGAUCCAACUUCUGGCUUGAAAUGAGACUGUGGUUGCAGUGUACAAUGAUGUGCUACAAUGUGUCUAAAGCACAAAAGUCAAUUGUUAAUAAAAUUCUUAUUUGAGUAUUUAAGCUCUGUACUUUCUGGGCCAUAUUAUUCA
RNA transcript from Cyprinus carpio (common carp), 2873 nucleotides. RefSeq lists it as uncharacterized. The transcript has 5 exons. NCBI's taxonomy places the organism in Eukaryota, Metazoa, Chordata, Actinopteri, Cypriniformes, Cyprinidae. The record is from RefSeq and is a predicted model, not a curated record.